GGGGCGGUAGCUCAGUUUGGGAGAGCGCUGCGUUCUGCAAUGCAGAGGUCGUGAGUUCGAUCCUCAUCCGCUCCACCA
Molecule: transfer RNA, 78 nt
Filed under: Polaromonas sp. P2-4
Lineage: Bacteria; Pseudomonadati; Pseudomonadota; Betaproteobacteria; Burkholderiales; Comamonadaceae
Description: tRNA-Gln
Rfam family: tRNA
About the family: Transfer RNA (tRNA) molecules are approximately 80 nucleotides in length. Their secondary structure includes four short double-helical elements and three loops (D, anti-codon, and T loops).
Source: RNAcentral